This 2621-nucleotide long non-coding RNA is filed under the name Homo sapiens (human). RNAcentral's name for it is "MIR9-2 host gene". The stretch from base 2008 to 2083 matches the Rfam family "mir-9/mir-79 microRNA precursor family". Lineage: Eukaryota; Metazoa; Chordata; Mammalia; Primates; Hominidae. The record is from RNAcentral.
ACAAGUAAUCCUCGUGUGUGACAGAGAGAGAGAGAGAGAGAGAGAGAGAGAGAGAGAGAGAAACGAGCUGGCGGAGAGGAGCAGAAGGCAGGAGGGGAAAUCUGGCACAACGGCUGGGAGAGGAAACUUGAUGCUUCUGGGCCACCAUUUGCCAGGGCCUCGCUCGAGGAGCGAGAGCAAGAAGAGGAGGAGGAGGUGGAGGAGAAGGAGGAGGAGGAGGAGAGGUGGAAGAGGAGGAGGAGGAGGAGGAGGAGGAGGAGGAGGAGGAGGAGGAGGAGGAGGAGGAGGAGGAGGAGGAAAGAAUGGAGGCGCCGCGGAGCCCUGAUUAUGCAUGGGCUGGAGCUGCCUCCUCUAACCUGUUCUUCUCCGAGCCGGGCAGCCGGCGGUCCUCAGCCGCCCACAGAACAGGAGCCGAAACAACCGUUCUCGAAGGCUACAGCGUUUAUUUUUCUCUUUUGGGGGGUUUUGGCGGUUGUUUCAGGGGCUCGCCAACUGGCCCCUUUAAUUAAAAGCUUCAAUAAAAGGCGAUCGCGCCAGGAAUGCACCCGCUCCUCUUCGCGCAGGAUUUGCAUAUUUUUUUAAUGCCCUAAUUUCCUUGAUGUAUGUAAAUGUAGCCGGACGUAGAGGGAGACAGGGAGCUGACGUCAAUGGACGUGACCUCGCAGCUAAACCUUGAACGUGAAGCCGGGAUGGGGGAAAACACGGAGCGGCAGCCGGCGGAGCCCGAGAGCGCGGGCGGCGGCGGCAGUAGCCGAGCCCAGGCCGGGGUGCCAAGGGACCAGUGCCGGCCCCGGGGGAGGACAAGCCGCCGCCUUCUUUCUGCACCGCGCGGCUCUCAGACUCGCCAGCCUUCCGGCCGCACACGCAGACUCUUGCCCUGAGCUUCCAGCCCCACCACACACACGUUCUUUUGCUUCCCUCAGAAAAGCAACACUCCCCAAAACAACAAACCAAAAUCAACAGAUAAAACAGAUGUUUUAGACCAAUGCUCGGGUAGCUUAUCAGAAAGAAGACUCUGACCACGGAACAUAUAUAUUUUUUGGCUUCUCUCCACAAGAAGAGGAGCGAGAGACCACAGACAACAGCAAAUCACUCCUAAAACACGAUAACUACAAGUGCUCCCUGUAGGGAGAGGUAAAUCGCCCAGCCGACUGGUGAAGUCUUCUGGUUUCGACGCCGAAAGAAGCCUGUUUGUGUGCUGCGGCCGUGCUGUGACUUUGGAUCUUGUCUUUCAGCCGGCGCCUCGGUUCCUGCCCAGCUGGAUUUGGGGGGCAGCAUUGCCUGGCGCAGGGAGAUCAAAUGAGACUGCAAAGAAGCAUAAAAUGAAUAGACAAUCCAACCAACCAAAGACCGGGGGCAGCAGCAGGCCAGCAAGACGGCAUCUUCUCCUUCCCAGCCUAGAAGCCCUGUGAAAUCGAGGAUCUUCCCCCUAAAACACAUACACACAAGAUAUGUGCAAUCAAGCUGCCACCGCUUGGUAAAAAGCCAUGGUGCCUAACCAAAAAGGAUCAGGAACAGAUCCUUGAAUCAGCUGUCACUUCUAUAGAAUGGGAUUUUUUUUUCCUUCCUCCUUAACCUGCGCUGGAAAUUGCCGUUGGCUUUAUACAUCUCUAUAGAGAGAGGCUAAAGAGUCUUGCGUGAGAAAGAAGCAAUUUACAAUGCAAAUAGAGGCCUGUGAAGGGACGGAUGCUGCUGCUCACUCGUAACAGCUUGCUGCACCUUAAUAGCUGGUUUUAUUUUCUGAUAUUAAUAGAUGAAUUGUUGGCUAACGCUGCCGGAGAUUACUUGCUGAAAGGAAAAAGAAAAGUUCGGAAUAAACUCUGAAGGCAACAGAUCUCGUUUGGAUGUUUUAGCCGCGCACACACACAAACAGAAACCAGGUCAUAUUUACAUAAAAGGAGGAAUCUUAAGCGCGGCAAGUAUCCUGGACGACCACUCUUCGGUACUGCCAGAAAGGAUCAGGACCUGGAGUCUGGCAAGAGGAAGACAGAGGCCUGUGUGGGAAGCGAGUUGUUAUCUUUGGUUAUCUAGCUGUAUGAGUGUAUUGGUCUUCAUAAAGCUAGAUAACCGAAAGUAAAAACUCCUUCAAGAUCGCCGGGGAGCGUGUGAGAAUGAAAGACUACAGCCGAGAGACAGUAAAAACCAGAAAGGUCAGGAAUACUUAUUGAAUCUAACUUUGUUUUUGUUUUGUUUUUUUCCUUAUGAUUAAAGGUGGGAUGAGAGAAAAUUAAAUGACACACACAUGCUAAAAUAUCAAGGUUCCAGAUAUGUCUUGAGAGGGGUUGUUGCAGCUGCAAAGGAGAAGUGUAUAGUGAUAAUGAGUAAAGAUGCAUGUGCAGUUUGUUCUAUUUUAAGGCAAAAGUUAUAUCAGGGAUUUUUUUCUUAGAAAGGUGUUGCAGAGAUGUCUGGUACCUAGUUUAAAAAUGAUUCCAUAAUAUGUAGACUUGGGCAGUUCCUUUGGGAGGCACCUCCCUCUCAAAAUUUGAAGAUUGUGCUUGGAAAUUACUUUACAUGUAUUUGGGCUGUAUGUCAAUUUGUACGAAAUUAGACUUUCAGAAAAGUUUAUACUGGAAGGUUAAUAAUUUGUAUCUACUGAGGACUUAGAGCUAGCAGGCAAAAUG